Molecule: long non-coding RNA, 20234 nt
Filed under: Citrus x clementina
Lineage: Eukaryota; Viridiplantae; Streptophyta; Magnoliopsida; Sapindales; Rutaceae
Description: Citrus clementina (C. clementina) long non-coding RNA (CCLE_LNC000802)
Source: RNAcentral
AAAUGGCCAGUGAUCUAUUAAUUAAAAUAAUAAUAUCACUGAAAUAAAGAGAGAGAGAGAGAGAGAGAGAGAGAGUCCCCAAAAAAAAAAAAGGAAAAGAAGAGAAGAGAAAAGAACAAGCAAAAAAAAAAAAAAUGGUGGGCAAGCAAGCAAAGAACAACUGGGAAGUGGAGACUAUUCACUCUCUCUUUCUAUAUAACACAGCAACAGCAGCAGCAACAACAACCCUUUUAUUAAAAAUAAAUGAAGUUUUGAUUUUUAAGCGCUGACAAAUUUAAAAAGGCCAACUUUUUUGAGCUGCAGGCAAAACAAAACUCAAAAAGCCUUUUUAUAUUAAUGUUAUUAAUAAUAAUAAUAAUAACAACUACUAAAAUGGGCAAGGGCAAGACUGAACCGGUGGACUGAGAUUGGUCCCGUGGUCCGGUGCCGUUUUUGGUUUUGACUUCCGGUAAUCCCGCCUUUAGCCAGCGAAGCCUCUUUCUUACAUAACACUUCAAAAAAAAAAAAAAAAAAACUCACUCACUUAUCAACUUUCCCACACUUUUAAUAAUUAUUUUUAUUUUAUUUUUAUUUUUUAAAUUCUUUUAUUUCUUUUUUGAGUUUUAGCGAGUAAUCAAAAGGGUCAAGUGAAUUUAUUUCACUCGACUGUUUUAAGAAAUGAAAAUAUAUUUUACAGUUGUUCGAUUGAAAGCAAUGGAAAUCUGUAAGCAUUUAACAGCUUGCUCUUUACUUUUCUCAAACCGCCAUGCUUUUUUUUUUUUAAUUGAUAUCAACAAUUUUAUGAUAAUAUAAUUUGAAUAUCUUAGUCUAAUAAAUUUACUUUCAAAUAUUUAAAUAAAAAAAUCAACCCACAUUAAUUUGGUAAUAUUAAGGUCAUGGAGUGGAGUAAUUUGGUUUAUUUUCAUGUGACAUUCAUAAAAGAUUAAAUAAAAAAAAAACAAAAAAAAAUAACUUCAAUUAUCGUGCUGGAUUGAGAAUGGUAGCAGCAGUGAAUAGUGAAUUGGGAUAAAGAUUCAUGAACAUAAAAUGAGAUUUAAAUUCAAAACGUUUUAAAUUUGAUAUAUAACAUAAAAUUAUUUUUUAAUUUAAAUUGAUAUGUAUGAUUUACACAUAUUAUUAAUAAUGAUUAUGUUUAUCAUGUGAUCCUUUGUUCAGGAAAAAAGAGAGAGAGAAAAAAAAAAGGGGAAAGUAGAAUUCUUAGUUUGCAUUUAAUUUUUUUUUUAUCAUUAUAAUACUUCAAGAGAUGACAGAUAUGGUUUGAUUGAGGAAACAAUUAUGCUCAUAAGUUAUCUGUAAAAUUACCUCAAUAACUACAAUUGAGCUGGCUUAAUUUUUUAAAAUUUAACGUUAUAUUCCAUGUAAAUGCAUUAAUUUGAGAUUUUGUUUCUUAAUUUUAUUUUAGUAAGUGAAUAAUAUUAGUGUGCCCUUAGAUUUAAUUUCUCUUUAUUCUCUCAAGACAUUAAAAGCCAAAGCUAAGUUAAAGCUGUCAACAACUCUUUUGCAGGAGGGUAAAAAUUUGCUUGAAAAAAUCAUACGGGCUUUUUAUUUUUUCCUAAAUUAGAAGAUUACAAGUGUCAAACUUUGCUGUUAAAUUGGGUAUAUAUGGCAGUACAUUUAUGUAAUCAAUGAAUUUUAUUCAAUGUAAAAUACAAAAAAUUAAUUUCUGCAAAGUGGAAAAUGCAAAAAAAAAUUUGAAAAAAAAUCGUUAAUGUGCAUUAAUGGGUAUGGUGAAAAUUUGUCUCUAAUCAAUUGAAUUUGGAUAGGCUUUACUCUAAAACGAGCAACGUGAGUCAUUUAAAAAAUAAUUAGAAAAUUUUCGUUACUGAGUAAUGUGAUAAGUGAUAUGGCAUAAUCAACUAAAUGAUAAAGUUUUAAAAUUUGUAAAAUCAUUUUAUCAUAAAAAUGAAUAUGUACCAUUUGAAAAAGAAAUGAUGAUAAGACUUAGUAAUUAAUUAUUAUAAUAUUCUAUUAGAUAAUGCCUAUCAUGUAUCACAUUAGUUGGUAUCUCAAUUUUAUAAAUAUAUUGUUGUUGUUUUUUAAAGGGGGAUUGCCAAUUUUCCCCUUACAGUAAUCAGCAUAUAUCAUUUUUGCCUAUAUUGUUCCCUCCACUCUUGUUGCUUUCUUUGCUAUUGCUUCUAUUGAAUGUAAGAGGGAUGAAGGGCGAGUACAGUCUAUUGAUAAUAGCCAAAAACCCCCUUGACAGCAUAAGUUUACAAUAUUACCCUUAUUUUCAACUACUCUUUUAUUUACAUUUAUUAUAAAUUAAAUAAAUUACAUGAAUAGAAACUAAAUAAAAAAAUUAAGUAUUAAAAAUAAGAAAUAUAUGUUUUCAUAUGAGAAAAAAAUUAAUAAUAAAUUUUUUUUAUAAUUAUUUAUUUUGUGAACAUUUUCUUAUAAUAAAAUUUUGUAAUAUUUUAAAAUUAAAUGUAAAAAAUAUAGGCAAAAUAUUUUAUUAUUUAUCUUAUAAUAAAUUUUUAUUUGUCAUUCAAGUUUUCUUAUAAUAAUUUUUUUAUCAUUUUAUAAUAAUUUUCUUAUAUAUUUAUUAUAAGAAAAUUUUCACAAAAUAAAUUAGUACAAGAAAAAAAAUUUAUUAUUAAUUUUUUUGUUCAUAUCAAAUAAUCAAAACAUAUAUUUCUUACUUUUAAUGCUUAAUUUUUUAUUUAAUUUCUAUUCAUGUGAUUUAUUUAAUUUAUAAUAAAUAUAAAUAAAAGAGUAGUUAAAAAUAAGGGUAAUAUUAUAAAUUUAUACUGUCAGGAGGGUUUUUAGCCAUUAUAAAAACAGCAGGGGGAAAUGAUAUAUGUUGAUUACUAUAGGGGGAAAUUGGCAAUCUCACUUUUUUAAAUUAUUUUUUAAAACUGUUUUUUAAUUUUUUUUUUUUUUAAAGGAAAUAAUAUGAACGUAUCAAAAUUUGAAUUUAGAGAGGCUUGCAUGAGACGAAAAUAGUGCAAGAAAAUUAGGCGACAGAAAAGUCUAUCAAAAUUUAAUUCAAUGCCGUACCUCCACUCGCAACUCUCGAGUCUCAAUCGCUCUCCCUCGUUUUCAGUCCCAAAAUAUGAGAAUUUUCUUUCAUUGGUAACCUAAAAACAAAUUUUAAGCCGCAGGGGUAGCCUGUUUUUUCUGACCCUGUUCUUUACUCCAUGAAGAUAUGCAUUAAGCCAUUAAUUUAAGAAGUGAUUACCGUGCCUCAAUUGAGUUAAAAAGAGUCCAUAAAUUUUACAAUUAAGAUGUGAUUACCAUGUCUCAAUUGGAGAAAUUCUAAAAUACGUUAAUACAAUUAAUUAAUACAUAUAUGACAUAUGUUGUUAGAUUUUAUAUAACCACUAAUUACAUGUUAAUUCUUCAAGAUACAUGCACAUAUGCCAUACUAUCAUUUACAUAUUGUACAAUUAACGUUGUGCAUAAUAUUUAGUUUUUAUUUAGAUUUUUUUAUUUAUAUAAAAGUUACAAAAAUUUACUUUUUUAUCCGAUAUAAAUAUAUGUAAAUCAAGCAUAGUUAAAAAAAAAUUAAAAAAAGUUUGAAAUUCAUAAAAUUUUAGACAUAAAAAAUUUAACAAAUAAAUUUUAAGAUAAGAUUUGUUUUCCUCCUUUCUUGGUGAUGGUCCUAUCUAAAACUUCUUUUAGUAGUUCAUCGUUAUUAAAUAAAUGAAGAGUAAUGCUAGCCAUUUCAAAACUUAUUACAACAACGUGUUUUCUUAAAUGAUGUGAUAUAAAUAUAUUCAUUAUAUGGCCGAGAGUAAAAGAAUUAAACAAAUAAAUUAAAUUUUAUGCACUAUUUAAUCAAUGAAUGUCUUAUCACAUAAUCCCUUAUUAGUUUUGGGACGACUUGCACUAUUGAUAAAUAGAUAACCUGUAAAAUAAAAAUUCAUGAAUAAUCAUCUUUACUUUCUUCUUCAUAUUAACCGUAGUUUUUACUUUAUUUAUUUUUACACUCAUCUAUUAUAGCACAGCUCGAAUAUCCGUCGACAUUAUAACCUAGUUAAUCUUCAUUAUCUGUACAUGAGUUAAUAAUAGUUAUGGUUGCAGAAGAGAUACAGCUGAUAGAGGCAAAUUAAAGCUAGCCAGCACAGGUUGUGUAGUUGUAGUAUUUGGGUUUUAUUGCCAUUGAAAUCUAUUUGUUGGAUAAUAACCAACAAGGAUAAAAAACAUCAAGGUUAAGUGGAUCCCAAAUCUUUAAUGUGGACAAUGAAAUUUUGCAUUAAUGUAGUUUAGGCAAAAUUUAAUCUGAAAACAUAUCUUUAUCAGAAAUAAAAAAAUAAAAAAAAUAAAGAUUCCCAAGAGCAUAAUAGAAUCUUUUGCCAUUGAAUAGGGAUAUGAAAAAGAAAUUUUGGACCUCAUUAUGAGAGAGAUACACACACAUUAAAAGAACCUAGCUAGCUAGUAAGCGAAAAUGCAUGUACCAAAAUAUAUCAUGGAUUUUAAUUAAUAUACCAUUAGAGAGUAACCUAAACUUUAUCCUACACGACACUAAAAGUCAACACGUUAGAUUGUGAUUUAUGAGUUAUGUCGGCUUCAGUUAGUGUCUAAAAUAAAUAACAAAGACAUCAAAAAUGUUGAAAUAUUUUCCUCACGUAACCCAAUCAACCUCCUUUUCAGCUGCCUAAUUUUGAACCAGCAUACGAGCCCUACUUCUUUAACUUGCAAUGCAUGUGUGGAUGCGCUCAUUGUUGAUAAUCCCAUUUUCAAGAACAGCGUAUAAUUAAGAAAGAUUAUUAGAGUUAUUGAAUUCUAUUUUAUCGUUUCUUGGAUUCGACUUAAUUACAUGCCGUUACAAAAAAUAAAAAAUAAACAAAAGUGGGAUAUAUAGGACAGGACUGGAGGGUCAAACACUCAUAAUAAUGGUCAACGCACUUUAGUUUACCCUUUUUGUCAGGGAGAGUGGAUCUCCUUUUCAUUUCGUGUCACGUAAAUUCAUUUUGUAUCAUCAAUAGUAGGGGGGACACAUGCACCCUCCAUUGUUCUACUUGUUAGCUUCAAUAAUAAUAAUAAUAAUAAUAAAAAAAGGAAAUAAAGAAUUAAAUGGUAGACAUUAUAAGGGUCUGUGAUUGCCGUAUUUUAAAAGUAUCAUAUCUUAAAAUUUGAGCGUCGUUAAAUAGUUAAAUCUUUUUUUUUAUUUUUAUUGACUAUUAACCAUCAGUAAUUAAAAAAUGCCACAUUUAUAUAUGUAUAAAAUGUUGUAUAAACAUACGCAUUUUAAAAUAUGGGUUUGACAUAUUACAAUGUUACUAUUCAUAAAUUCAUGAAAAAAAAAAAAAGAGAUUAUGAGAGUAUAUAUAUAAAUAUUUUUUUAUUUAGUUAGAUUAUACAGUCAACUUUUUUUUUUCUUCCUUCUUCGAUGUAUGUGGACUGAGUCAGCUCCAGCCUCCAAUUGGGCGUCAAAAUUGCGCGUAAAUAAUAAGAAAAAAUAAAGUCAGUCAACCACCACUUUGAUGCUUAGGUUAUGUGUGCCGCUUGCCUUCUCCCUCAAAUUGUCGGCUGCCGUUCCACUUCUCCCUGCCAUCAUCCACACGACUUUUAAUUUGUGGAUAUUUUCAGUUGCUGGGUCAGAAUACUUUUUCAUAUUAUCGUUCCUCCUUUUUUUUUUUUGUUUAAUGACAUUUUGUAAGUUAUUUAUUACAUGUUCUAAAUUUUAUAUUUAAGAAUAUCUUAAAUUAAGAUAUAAAUUUAUAAAAAUAUAACGUUAAUUUUUUAAGAUAUAAUAAGAAGAUCUUUUACCAUAAUGAACAUAAAACAACAAUUGUAAUUUUCUUUUCAAUUGUUUGCUAUUUGAAAUUGACACCUAUGCACAUUUAAAAUAUUCAAAGCCUAUUGAUGAAUUUGCCUCUAGUGUUGUUAAUCGUCCUUUGUUCUUAUAUUUUAUUUUUAUAAUCUUUUGUCGUGCAUACAUUUAUAAUAACAUGUGCGGUUGUAAAUUAAUUAAUUUAUGUAUUCUUAUCGAAAUAUUGAAUAAAUAAUUACUAUAAAUCACACAUUUCUGAAAAAUUAAUUCAAAAAUCAGAUCAAUAUUGAACUUUUAUAGGUUAGGAUUAAAAUCUUCUGGUUAUGUGACUUUCUGCUAAUUAAAAUUCACUCAAGUGAUUGAUUGAUAGUUAAUAAAUUACUAAAUAAAAAUAAUUAAAUUAUAAUAAUACACUAAUACUAUAAAACACGUGACACAAUAAAAGAUUAAGAAGAGUUCAUAUUAGAGAGGAUCGUAAUCAUAGUUAUACUCCGCAUCAAACUAAUGAUAACUCUUGCUCGAAAUUUACGCCCCCAAUAUUUGGCGAUAUUUGCUCCCACAUAGGACGAUUAUUAUGUGCUCCAAUGAGUUCGUUCGUAUGUCCUUUCAAAAUGAUUUUCAAUCCAAAUCUUGGUAAAUGCUACCACUUCAAGUGUUUUUAUUUCAGGAAUUUCUCUUGAUUUUUUAUUUUUGCCUAUGUAUUUUCCUUUCUUGAAAGAAAGAAAAUAUAUGUAUUGCCAAAUUGGAUCUUACAUUGUCAGUUAAGUAAUCUAAGAAAUCUAAAGAUGCCAAAGAAACUAAGUAUGGUCCCAACUAUCUAAAAAAUCUAAAGAAGAGAAAGAAACUAAGUAUGGUCCCAGCUGUCUCCACUCAAUAUCUCCAAUAUCCUGAAUAUGCUAAAGUCUCCAAAGAAAUUUGAAGUCCCGUUUAGUAUUAAAAUUGAGAAAUUGUAACUUAAUAGUUUUAUGAUUAAAGUAUUUAGUAAAUAUAAGUUGUUGUGGAUUGAAAACUGAUCUAAUUUGAUUCACUGCUUAUAUGAUAAAAAAUAUAUAACACUUUUAUUGUUUUUAUCAAAUUAUAUUUAUUACCCUCUAUUAAUUUUUAUUUUAUAAUUAUAGCUUAUUUUUACAUCAGCUCAAAUUAUGUGUUUGCAGCUAAACAAAACGUAAAACACAUAAGACAAUCAGUUAAUGAUAGUAUGAUGAAUAAAAGAGAUUAUAUUAUACGACUAUGAUUAUGAUUAAUCAGUCUCUAUACAUCCAACAUUUGGUACUAUCAUUGACCCAAGUGACUGAAUUAAUUAUUUGCUUCUUUCUUUAGUCCUUACAGAUCAAAUUAACACUUAAUUGUUUUUAACAAUAAUUUUAAGAAUCUGAACGAUUGAAUUUGAAAAUCCUUUAAUCCAGUUCACACUCAAUUAUUACGGACCAAAUUCAUUAUUUGCUUUGCCUGUUGGCCCUGACAGGUAAGGUUGGGUUCAAGCAUUGUUAGUUUCCAUGAUUAUGAUGAUAUUAUAGUAUAAUUGAAGCAUGUCCACAAAUGAUUGGCACCUGGUUAAUUAAUCAUUGGCAUCAAACUAAUAAACUCCCUCUACUAUAUAGUCUAUAUAAGGGAGAAAAUUUAUGUUACAUUAGAUGUAAUUCAAUUAAAUUUGUCUGUAUAACAUGUGUAGUUAAAUUUAAUAUAACUAUUACUUAUAUGUUGAUUUUUUUAAAAAAUAAAUAAACGUAUGACAUAAUAUUAUUUAUUUAUGUAUGACUUACGCGAUACUUCUGAUAUAUUCUAAAAUUUCUCCUAUGUAAAUACCUUUACUUUAAACUCUAGACUAUGUACGUAAAAAAAAAAAUUAAUUAAGUUGAUCGUGUAAUUAAUUAAUUAAUUAAUUAGCUUCUAUCUUUGAAGAAAAAUCCAAAUUUCUUUACAUUUUAGAACAACCGUUUCACUUUAUUAUUGCUUUAAACUUUUUGGUGAUUGCAUUUACAUACAACAAAAAUUGAUAAUAAAAAAUUAGAAAAAAGAAAGUUAUUGAGAAGAAUAAUUAGGUACAAAAUCUAAGUUGUCAUGUUUCAAUUGUUAAAAUACUGCUUGAAGUGGUGGCUUGCACGCAGGCAACAUGCAUGCACGAGAUUGUGUGCUCGUGUGUUGGGUGGGAGGUUGAAUUUUAUUUAUUUAUUUAUUAUUAUUAUUUAUUUAUUUGGGAAUCUAGGUGGGAGGCUGAUUAAUUCUUUAUAAUUUAGACACCUUUUUCAAGUACUCACCUAAAGUUCAAAUAAUUCAUGAUGUUUUUGCUUUAAAUUGGUGCGGCCCAAUAAUAAACAUAUUGAAUGUCUAACCGGAUACAUUUUCCCUAAAUAUUAUUUCGAUGGAUAGUUAUUAUUUAAUACGACGUUCACACGUUUUAAAAUAAAAAUUUAAAAUUAAUUAAAUGAUAUUAUGUAAUUAUAAUAUUAUGAUUAGAAGUAUUUUUUUAGCUUUAAAUUCGUAUUCUAAAGGGUACAUAAAGAUUAGGCAUGUUAAAAUAUCUAUUGCAAAAAUUGAUGGUGUGUUUACUAAAUGAUAAUCGAAAUGAGUUAAAAUCAGAGUGAACUGAAAUAAGAAUAGGGAAUGAGAUCAAAAUAAAUUGUUUACUUUAGCUAUAUGAAUCAGAAGUGGAAUGAAUUAUAUUGCCAUUGAUGUAUUUACUUUAUUUUAGAAUCAUAAUGAAUUGUUAUAAGUUACUAAAAUGACCUUAGUUGAUAAUAAUAAUAAUAAUUGUUAUUAUUUAUUAUAAUAAUUGUGAUUAUUAUUAUUCAAAAUAAUUAUUGUUAAUAAUAAUAAUAAUAAUAAUAAUAAUAAUAAUAAUAAUAAUAAUAAUAAUAAUAAUAAUAAUAAUAAUAAUGAUAUUGAUAAUGAUGAUCAUAAUAGUCGUGUAGCAGUAGCAACAACAGUAGUAGUAAUAAUAAUAAAAUUUUAUAAUAAUAAUAAUAUUAUUACUGUUAUAAUUAUUAAUUUAAUUAUCAUUAAUUAAUACUAUUAUUAUUGUUAAAAUUAUUAUCGUCGUCGUCAUCAUCAUCAUUAAUUAUUAUUAUUAAUAACAAAAAUAAUUACAUAAAUAAGAAUAGUGAUAACAAUAAUACAAUAACAUAAUAUAAUUAUAUGACAAAAGUGAAAUUAUAAAAUUUGAGUGGGGUAAAAUGGGAAGUUCAAGGAAUGAGAACUUGAUUUCCUAUCCCUCUCAUGAAAAUCAAGUUAUUAUUCAUUGAUUCCGAAAAUAUGUGGGUCUCAUUUAUUUCAUUCUUAUUUUUACUUCUAUUUUAGCAAAAUAAACAUCAUUAACCAUUCCUAUUCCGAAUUCCGAAGUAAACAUAACAUAAAUAAAAUGAUAUCAACCAUCCAAUUCAAAAGAUGCCCAAAAGUGCAUACACGUUGUCUAGAAACAUCAAUAAUAUGAAUGCUUCCACUAUCAAAUCUUGAGUGGUGAGGAGACACUUAAUGUAUAUAGCAAGCAUUACAUCAGCAGCAUCAAGCAAUAACUUUAUAAAAGGAAUAAUUAUCAAGGUAGGCCUACAAGUUACACUAAAUUAUUGCUUAAGAUUCUUUUUACUUGAAGCAUAAAUAACCCAACAUCUAAUGAUGAAAUCGAAAGGGUAGAACUAGAAAUGAUGGGUGCUAAGUUCGAGCAAGUAGAAUGAAACUACAAAUCAUUUCACACGUUUGUAUAGGUGUUUGUUGGAUACCACUUUUAAUGACUUUAUAAGGAAGGUCAUUUUCUUGAUUGUUGGUGAUUAUUCUCAUGCUAGUGAAAAUAAAUUUUGAUAUAACUUGUUUCCCAAUCAUUGGUUCUUUUUAUUUAUUUGUUCUUUAAUGGUAUUGGGACUAAGUCAUCAAAUUAAUCAUAUCUCAAAGUUAGUUACCAAGUUAACAAUUAGAGUAGUUUUAGAUUUGUUAAAAUUUUAUUCCAAAUGAUUUAGUAUUUAUCAAUUGGAGGGGUGAGAUAAUGUUAUUAAUUUACCUGCAAUUAACUAGUGAAAAAUUAUCAAUCAUUUGAUGAGUGUAUAUAUCACAUGUCUGAGAUGAAAUUAGGAAUAAAAUUUUGGGAUAUCAUCAUUAAUCUAAAAAUUAUGAUUAUCAACCAUUUGAGAAGUAUAUAUAUUACAUCAUCGAAGAUGAAAUUAAGAAUAAAAUUUUGAGAUGUUUAUUAUUAAUCUAAAAAUUAUGACUUUGUGUAAUUAUAAAAUAUUUUCGUAUGUCUAUCAGAAUAUUUUGAUAUAUAGCUCAAUAUGUUUGCUGGACCUACUUUGAUGCACCAAAGAAAAGAAUGAAUAAAAUAUGCUCUAAUAUUUACAAAGAAACUCAAACCCUCAACUUAAAGAAUACAGUGAGGUAGCGCCCAUCUACUCAACUAAAGAGUUAUUGACAAUAAUUGACAUUCUGAAUGAAUGAUUCAAAAUUAGCACAAAAUUAAUUAAUUUGAUGUCAUAAAAGAUGUACAAAAUUGGAAGACCGUGGAUAGUAACAAAUCAUUGAAUUAUUAAACUAAUUUGUACCCUAAACUUAUUCGAUCUAACAGAGAAAAUGGUACAUUAUUUAUUCAUGGUCAAGCCACACAGCAUAAAAAUUUCAAAAUUUCCUUCAAUAUUUAUGUAAACUGAGGAUUCCUUGCAAGGCAAAACUUCAUCAUGUUUGAAUGGUCCAAAUUGAUUUAUUAAAAAUCAUGAUGUUGAAGGGUUGAUAACUCGAUAUUCUGAUAUCUUGAAAAGAGUUGCUUUAGUUUGCAUUUAUUUGACAAUAUUGUUAGAAGUUUGUAGUGACAUGCCACCACUUCUUUGAACCAAAAUAAAUAAUCUAGUUGACAAUUGUUGUUUGACUCAGUAAACAAUUUAGUUAUAAUCAUAUUAUAGGAUAGAAUCAUUUUGACUUUGAACAUAUAUAUAUAUAGUCUUUUGAAACAUGCCAUAGCAUAGUAAUAAUUUUAUAAUGCUUAGCUAAUUUGUACAAUUAUAAUCUAUCUAUGGAAAGAUAAAUAGCAUUAAUCUCGACUCAAAAGUGUUUGAUAUGCUUUUCUUGUCAAAGAAGCACUUUUAUUUUUUCAAACUUUUAUUUUUAAUUAUUUUAAUAAAAUGCUAAAAAAAUAAGUAAAAUUAUCAAUUCAAUUAUUCGAUAACAUUGAGAUACAUAUCCCUUAUCCGUAAAUCCAGUUUCAGUGUGGCCCAAAAGCUCUGUUGGUUUGAGAAAAAUGGCCAUGAAAGAUUUUUGGGCCCAUGAAUGUAACAAAAAAUUCAUCUGAUUGCAAAUUAAGUAGCUCUCACUUCAGCACCCUACAAAGCAAAAAAAUCACGAAGAAGAAAUGUUUAUUACAUGAUGAUGAUUCCUCAAAGGUUCUAGAUCUUGUUUCGAUGAACAAAUUUCUCCCUAGAGAUGGCCAAUGGGCGCCGGCAUCAAAGUGAGGCCCAUGCGUGCUCGUAUCCGCACCGUGCCGGGCCUUUUUUUUUUUUUUUGCUUAGGCUCGGCCCGGCACACGUGCCGUGGGUCGUGCCGUGCCUUGCCUAAGAAAAAAAGUCCAAUAAAUAUAUUUAUUUAUUUUUUUAUUUUUUAAGAGUGCAUAUCAAGCUAUUGACGUACUUUUUUUCAAGUCUAUGUACUUUUUUUAAAUUUAUGUCUUUAUUCAAAUUUAAUAGAAUCAAAAUUUUAAAACUAAUAAUAGUAAGAGAAUGUAAUAUUCAUUACUAAGUUUGACCUUAUAGUGUUAGAAUAUGUUUUAAUGCUUAACAACAACACCAAUAAUAAUAAUAAUAAAUUUUUCUUAAAGAUUAAUUUAAUUGUUAACUUGGACUUACAUAGAGUCAUAGAUCAUAGUUCACAAUAAUAUUAAUGCAUAUUAAUAAAAUCAUGAUAUUUAUAAUUUUUUAUUCAUUAAAAUCAUGAUAUCAAUUAUUUAUUUAAUAAAUUAUAAAUAUAAAUCAAUUAUAGUAUUUUUUUUAAACUAAGAAUUAAAUGAAUUUAAAAAAUUCAAUUUCAAGUUAUUUGUAAAAUCAUAAAAUUUUAAGUUUACUUUCAUUAAAAAAUAAAACGUGCUUAUUGUGGGCUUUUUUAUCGUGUCGUGCUUAGCCCAUCUCUAAUCGUGCUGUACUUAGCUCAUCUCUAAUCGUGCUGUGCUUUUAAAGCCCGCUUGCCUAAAAUUCUAAGCCCGACCCAACCCACAUGGACGCCGUGCCGUGCCGCGUGCCUCACCGAAACGUGCUCGUGUCGUCCCGUGCCACGUGCCGUCUAGCCCAUUGGCCAUAUCUAUUUCUCCCCUACAAGUUUCUCAUCUCACUCACCAAAGAGAAAAUCACUCACAAAUGUACCAAACUUACUAUCCACAUACAACUCAGCAAGUUGAAGCACUAGAGUGAAGUGCUACUAGGUAGGCAUAAAACUCAUAUGGGAUGUCAAUUAAAAUCUCAUGAUUUCCUUUCUCCACUGUAAUCGCAAAACAAUGGGCCACCACAAUUAUUGCUUGGUUCUUUAUUACGCUUUCUAAUACAUCUUGAACUACAGGUUUCGAUUCAGCAUCAAGUGCACUGGUAGCUUCGUCUGAAACUAAUAUCUUUGGAUUUGUAACUAUGGCACGUGCAAUGGCUACCCGUUGCUUUUGACCACCUGACAAUUAAAGUCCUUGCUCUCCAACCAUUGUCUCGUACCCCCACACUCCACAUUACAUUAUAUUGAAGUGACAUAUUUACUUGUACAAUGAAAGUAUAUAGGAUCGUGACUUAUGUAAUAAUCUAACCUGUUGUAGACUACUAAUGAACUUGUGAAGUUGGCAGCUCAGCUUUGAUGUGGAUAGAAUUUGAGGUUCAGUUGCAUUCCCUCCCAUUCCAUAAGCAAUGUUGCUGCGGAUUGUGUCAUUGAACAUAACAGGUUCUUGGCUCGCUAGCCUAUCUACUGCCUUCACCAUUUUAGUAGGAGCUUUUGAAUUUCCACUCCAUCCACCAUAAUGCAUCCUGAAUCAGGAACAUAGAAUCUUUGCAACAAUGAUAUUAUUGUUGAUUUCCCACUCCCACUUUCUCCAAUUAGAGUAACGAUCUAAAAGGAGAAAAGGAAAAAAACUAACAGAAGGAUAAUAUAAUUUAGACCCUAAUCAUAUGGUGUGAUUUUUGUUUGUCUCAACUGCUUCAAAGAAUGGAGUUUAGUAGUAGUCACAUUGGCAGUAAGAAUUUUCAGGCUAUCUAUUGGAAAAUGUGAAUAUCUGACCCUCAUGGAUAUUUAAAACUUACAUGAUGAAGCUCUAUUUCUCCUUUAACAUUGUCCAACUUUGUCCUGAAUUCAUCAUUGGCGCCUAUCUUCGACUUGCAGUCUAGAUUGCGAAACUUGAAGCAACAACAUUCUUCUCUUUGGUCGAAUUAGAACCAAAUGAGCUGAAUUGAGAUAUGCCAAUGGUUGUUAUCAUUAAAGCAUAAAAAACAUGCAAAACAAACACAAGGCAUUGUUUUGUCAUUGGAACUUUUUAGUGUUUAUAAAGAUGUGAACUUAAGCCCGAGAUAUCAUGUCCAAAGUAGAGAUGACCAAUGGGCCGUGCCGUGCCGACCCAACUCAUCAAAGGAAGGCUCAUGUGUGCUCGUGGUCGUGCCAUGCUGUCCUGUAUCGUGUCUUUUUUUUUUUUUUUUACUUAGGCCCAACCUAGCACACGUGCUGUGCUGUGGGCCAUGUCAUGCCGUGCCUGAGAAAAAAAGCAUGAUAAACCUUUUUUUUAAGAGGGCAUGCCAAGUUGUUAGUGUGAUUAUUUCAAGUUUAUGUACUUUUUCAGGUUUAUCUGCUUUUAAUCAAAUUCAAUAAAAUAAAAAAUUCAAAACUCAAGUCCAUAUUCAAUAACAAUAAAAUAAUAAUAUUAAGAAAAUGAAAUACUAAUUACUAACUUAAACCCUACUUUACUAAAAUUUCUUUUUAAUACUUAACAAUAACAACAACAAUAAUAAUAAAUUUUUCUUAACGAUUAACUUAAUUGUUAACUUGGACUUACAUAUAGUCAUAGAAAAUUACUUAUAUUCAAUACAAAGGAUAUUACUUAUAUUCAACUAAAUGAUAAAACUCAAAAUUAUUCCUUUAAGUUGAAACUUCAAUAGCAUUCAUAAUUACCUUAGAAGUUGCAUCAGCCGUUGCUAAUAUGGUUUUGGCCAAAAGAGUCAGUCAUCUCACAUAGUAGCAAUGUCAAUACAUCAUAGAAUCUACUAAUGCAAAUAGCUUGUAGAAUGGAGUCAAGUUAGUUUUGUCAUUUCAUUUCCCUUGUCUUCUCCAAAUCUUGUUAGUUCCUAGUCAUACUCGAACCUUUUUGGAUUUGGAUGGCUAUUCAAGCUCCUCGACACCAAUACACUGUCAUAAAGACGUUAAUCCAACAACAAAUUAGUGUUUGAAUCUGUUUGGGGUGAAAAGCAUCGUGACCAAGCACACAUGAGCAUAACAUGCUCCCCUCAGCUUAAAAUGACUCCUCGAGGAAAAUUAUCCCCGACGAGUUGUGUGGUUGGUCGCGUGAGUAAAGUUGACUUGAGGACGCGCGAGGAGAGACCAGGGAGAGACUAGAAUCAAGAGAGAUCGAAUAACUUCGUCAAAGGUCAACCCAUGGGUUUUCUUUAAAAAAUUCGAAUGUGAAGCCUACUCAACAACAAAUUACGAUGCCCAUUCACCCAAGGCUAUAUAACCGACCCAAUAACAAUUGUAGGGGAGAGGAGACCGAUAAUUCUGGUCGGAUAUAAAAGCUUCAGGGAAUGGAAUUAAAAAGUGUUUGACAACUUUUCACUAGAUCCUCAUAUCUUUUUCUCUAUAGAUAAUUCUCUCUCUUUUAUCUUUCUUUAUUUCUAAAAUUAAGCUUUCUAUCCUGAAUUGUGGCAUAAGUUUUUCCAAAAAAGGCCUGAUCACUGACUUGACCAUCAGAGGAUUUUCAUUGGAAAAACAUUCGAGACCUCUCUAACUAAAUAUUGUGAGCUCAGGUGAUUUGGUAUAACAAGUUUGUGGUCGAAGCUAGUUGUUCGAGUAGAAAAGCUGCAGUGCUGAGCCGUUACCUUAACAAACAAAUUUAAGUGUUAGUGUGGACAUCUAGUUGCAACUCUACCGAUCAUAUAUCUGCAUUAAUAUUUUACCGCCGUCUGUGGUGACGAAACAAAAAGCUAUAACUAAUGAAGCAAUUAAGAAAAAGAAAGGAUAAUGAGCAUGGAUACAAGAGGAAAUGAUGCCCAAGGGGCCAAGUUUAGAAUCAAUGAGUUAAUCACCUUGCGGGAAAUAGUGAAUGAAGUAAGGGAAAGAGCAAUGCAUGAACGGAUAAGCGAAUGGAGACCCUCACAGCUGUUUUACAUGAGUUGAGGGAUGUGCAACGAAGGUUUGAUGCUGGAGGUUUGAGGAAUAAUCAGGAUGUCCUAACAUCCAGUAAUAGAGCAGAUCCAGGUGAGUGGGAUUCAUGAAUAAGGAGCCAGUUCCACAGUGAGCUAAAUCCUGGUGCUGGGAGUCAAUUUUGUGGUGAGUAAAACCAUGGGGUAGGAAAUCAAUUUGAGGCAGUCAAAAUAUGGGGAAUACAAAAAUAGAAGUGAACAUUGAAAAGAGAGAGUUGGGGAAGCAUCUCCACGAUAUCAAACAGGAGUGCGAAUAGGUCGCUGCCUACAAUCAUGGUCGAGCGGUGGAAUUAGAAGGCGAGGUGAGAAGAUUGGCUAAGAUCAUUGACGAGAUGCAAAGACGAGAAAAGCUUCCCAAUUGGAGAAUCAUGUUGGAUAACGAGUCCCCAUUUUCUUUAGAAAUUAUCAACACCACAAUACCUAGGGAUUUCCAUUUUUCCAAUCUCAAAUACUCUAGGAAAAGCGACCCUCUAGUACACAUUGAGCGUUUCAAUAAGGGUACAAGGCUUUACACAGGUGCAAAGAUGUAGAGCAUUUUCUCUGACUUUGGAAGGGCGAGGAUGCGACUAGUAUUGUUGACUACCUCGUGGGAGUAUCAUGGGGACACGAGAGGAGAGACUAGAAUCAAGCCAGAUUGAAAACUUGGUCAAAGGUCAAGCCAUGGGUUUCCUCCAAAGAAUUUGAGCAUGAAGUCCAUUUAAUAGCAGUUACGCUGCCCACUCACCCACGGUUAUGCAACCGACCCAGUAACAAAUGUUGGGGAAAGGAGGCCGAUAAUUCCGGUCGGAUAUGAAAGCUAUAGGGAAUGGAAGUAAAAGGGGUUAGAGAACUUUUCAGUAGAUUCUUAUAUACUUUUCUUCCCUAUCGAUAAUUCGCUCUCCUCUAUCUUUCUUUCAUUUUGAAAUUGUGGCACAAGGUUUUUCAAAAAAAUCCCAAUGACUAACUUGAGCGUUGGAGGGUUUUCGUCAGAAAAACAUCAAGCGGCCCUCUAAUUGAAUAUUGUGAUCACAAGUGAUCUGGUGCAGCAAGUUCGUGGUCAAAGCUAACUGCUCAAGUGGAAAAGUUGUAAUGUUGAGCCGUCACCCCAACAAACAAAUUUAAUUGUUGGCGUUGACACCUGGUCGCAACUCUACCAACCAGAUAUAUGCAUCAACAGAAUUAGAGCUACACCACACAAUUAGUGUUUGAAAUCCGCAACUCGAAACCAAAUUAACUAAAAGUGAGCAAUAACACAACUUAAAAGUAAUUUCUAACUCCCAAGUAUAAAAAUGUCUUGUUAUAUUAUAGCUUGGUGAGUCCGAAGUCGAUCCACAAAAAAAAGAUUUAAUUUGUUUAUUUUAUUUUAUCUAAAAAUGAAAAUAAAAUUUGAAUGUAAAUAACUUAAUUUAAAUGAAACUAUGAAAUUAAAUUAGUUAGGGUUAUGGAUCCACUCUUAGUAAUAAAUAAAAUUUAAUAAAUUCCUUUUACCUUUUUUUUUAUUGCCCAAAAGAUUAAUUAUAUAAAUUAUUAUUAUUUUCUCAUUAAUUUUAUAAUGGAUUAAGUAUUUAUUGUGCCAAAAUUUGAUUUGUUUACAAUAAGUCAAAAUACCAUUUUACCAUACCUUAUAUUAAAAUAUUAAGAAUUUAUUGUGCCAAACUCUCUUGUUUGUUUACAAUAAAUCAAAAUUUCAAAAUAUAAAAUAUGUAUACAAUUAAAUAGAAAAUAAUUGAAUUUAUAUAAAUAAAAAUAGAAUUUGAUUAAAUCAUAUUUAUUUCCUAAGAGUUUCACCUUACCCUAACUAUUAUUAUUUAGCUAAGCAUAAUUGAAAUAAAAAUAAUUAUUAAAAUUAAAUUACUCAUUAUUAAAAGUAAUAAAAACAACUAAAAAUAAAAAUAAAAAUAAAUUUAUUUAUAAAAAUAAUUAUGCAAAAUAUUAAAACACACUUGAAAAAUAAGAUUACAGGAAAAUUGAGAGAAAUUGAGAAGAAAAGAGAUGCUCAAAAUGACUCUAUUUAUAGAAAAAUAAAUUCAUAAUCCAGUGUAUUGCCGUCCAUCAUAAACUUUAUGCAUGCGGUCUACACAACCAUUCGAUCAAGAUCCAACGGCUGGUCAAACUUCAAAAGUCAACAUUACAUGUGGCAUCUUGUGAAGCAUCCGAUUUGGUCAAAGAACAGUUGAGAUUUGGUGGGUUAAUGGGUGGAUCGGGUCGACCCGAAUACAAAGGUUUGGAUCCUACAACUUGCUUCACCAACCAUUGCCACGUGGCACGAUUGUGGUAAUUGAAUCAUGAAGGGUUGAGAUUUAGUCAAAAUUGACAGUUAUCCAAUACACUCAUAUCUAUUGUAAGCUCAUUUUAUCAUCUAAUCAGUGCUUGGUCAACAGAAAAAUUCAACUUUUUGUACAAGCUCAAAUUUAAGCCGGUCUUGACUCAUCUUAAGGUUUUUAGACCUCCGAAAUCUAAAUUUGAUAUUCGUUUAUCUGUUUGGAGCCUCGAAUUAUGUGAAAUUAAUAUUUUACCUAAUAAACACACAAAAUUAAAUAUAAUUAAGACAUAAUUAAUAAUCCUAAUAUAUUGCAUAAACAAAAAUAUAAAUUAUAAUAUAGACAUAAAAGUAAUAUUUUUAUCGCUUGAUAAUCAAACAAUUUUUAAUACUAAUCAAGCAACUUCCAAAAUUCUUUAAGGACUACUGGAGUGGAAUGAAAUGAUUACAAAAUUUAUAAUUUAUGAGCAAGUACAGCACCAUUACAUUCAUUCUCUAUUGAGAAAAAAUAAUUGUACUAGUCAUAAAAAAGAAGCAAAAAGGAUGAAUAAAAAUAGAAAAUAAAAACCAAACAUAAGAGGAAGCUAUGCUUCUGUUUUUGUUCUUGUGUUUUCACGCAACACUUUUGAGUCUUCAAGGACCUAUAACGUAGGCUACAGGUAAACUUCAAAAAAUCUAUUUGAGAAAAAUUUGGGAACCCAUAAAAGUAAAUGAUCAUUUAAAAACAAAAUAAUAAUAAUAAUACUAAUAAUAAAUCUGAACAUUUUCUAACUCAAACGACAAUUAUGAUUAAUUAAGGUACUUAAAAUCUUAAGAAUUAGGCAAGAAGAGACUCAAGGUCCUAAAAAAAAUUCUUGAAUAAUUUAGUCAAUAUACUAAAAAUUCUCUAUAAUCGCAUUGUUAAAAACAAACUAAUUUUUAUUAUUAUAAGGAGGUUAUAAUUUAAUAGAGAUAUAUUUACAAAAAAUAUUAUUUUGGCUUAAUUGUCCUAAGUGCAAACGAUAUAAACCUAAAGUAUGUGUUACAUCGAUAACUAAUUAAUGAAACCUAUCAAAACUAAUAUAUAGACAUUGAUAAAAGAGAAACAUAAUUUUAAAAAAACCAGUACUAAUAUUUAUCAUUUAUAUAGUGUUGAGAAUAUAUAAAGUCAUUUUUUUAAAAGUUUAAACAAUAAAUUAUUAUCCUAAAUAACUUCAAGAAAAUAAAUUUAUUUAAUCUUAAUAUAGAAAUAAUGAUUAAUAUUUAGAGGCAAGUUCCAAAAAGACGUGAUCUAUAAAAAAGUUAUUAGAACAUGAAGUUAUUUUUGUAGUAACUACCCCAGACUUGGAACCAAAAUUUUUUAUGCAAGUUCUUGAUGAGUAGAUGUUCUUAUUAAAAAUCAAUCCCAAUCAAUGACUUUUCUCUGCUCAACUCUUCUGACCCUUAUCAACGUUCCAAAUUCACUCUGGCCCUCGGAAAUGCCUGCAAGGACUGGGGCUUCUGCACGGUACAUGCAUUAUAUAUGGACUAUUAGUAUACAGAUCAAGUCCGAACGUCCUUAUAUAAGAAAUGGAUUUGAACCAUCAUCAAUUUUCUUUGGACGUAACGUAGAAAACCCAUCACAGUUAAAUUGUGUGAAUGAAUCAAAAUGGUGCAUACCCCAUGCCCAUCAACGAUUAUCAGUAUAGUUCCGAGACCAGGAUGGCGAACGAGGCAUUUGACAAGAACAAAGUUUGCGUCUACAAUUGUCAAAGUGAAACUCGAGAGAAUAACUAGCCCAUUAUUGUUAACUAAAUAUCUAAAAUUUAUAAAAUGUUCAAUCAAAACAUUAAUAUACGUCUGGACACUUGAGGGCCAUAGCGUACAUGGCCUGUGUUCUUGUUUAACAUGUGUCCUAGAUUGUGCCAAAGCAGAGACCAUAAAAGAACCAGUUACUAAAUUGCCGCACGCUACAGACCAGCCCAGCUAAAGCGUAAGUGGGCGUCCAUGGCCACGGGUACGACACGUAGGGAUGGGUGUUGGAAGUUUGGACUUUCGAAGGACUAUUGCUCUGAAGAUGCUUUGGCUGCCGAGGCCAAACAAGAAUGGCCAUUAACGUGCUUAACUUGCUUGACGUGCGUAGAAUCGGGAAAAUGAGCAAUCACCACGCGGUGGUUUCUAUUAGAAUGGCCAUUAAUGUGCUUGACUUGCUUGACGGGCGUAGAAUCGGGGAAAUGAGCAAGCAAUCAUCACGCGUUAAUUUCUAUUAGAAUGGCCAUAAACGUGCUUAACUUGCUUGACGGGCGUAGAAUUGGGAAGCUCUUUUGAUCACAGUAUCCAGAUACUAAUGUUACGGGCAUUAAAAAGAAUAUGUUUACUUUCGUUUGUCAAAGCUUGUUUCUUCCUCAAAAUUCUGAUAUGGCACUAAGAGAAAUUGAAAAGAACUGUAAUUCAUUUCAUUUUUUUUUCAAACAAUUAACCAAACAGGGAGAUCGAAACAACACAGGAUAACAGGAACCGAUCAAAACGACACAACAUAACCCAAGGAAAAUAUCAAAACACGAAACCAUAACAUAGCUCCUAAUUUAUCCUAAACAACACUAAUUCCUCCAGCUGCCGCCAUCAGAAGCACCGCUCCUUGAGUAUCGGGAACCACCAUCACCGCCAUAUCCACCAUCACGGCUGUAACCACCUUCACGGCGGCCACCAUAUCCUCCACCACCGCCACCUCCGUAUCCGCGGCUCCCACCGUAUCCACCACCACCACCACUUUCACGGCGUCCACCACCUCCAUAUCCGCCACCGCCGCGGCUUCCGUAACCACCACCGCCACCGCCACCGCUUCCGCGGGACUGGGCCUCGUUGACUGUGAUGUUACGGCCGUCGAGAUUCUGGCCGUUCAUGCCUUCGAUCGCGUCCCUCAUCGACUUCUCAUCGCGGAAGGUAACGAAUCCAAAUCCUCUGGAUCUUCCAGUCUCGC